RNAcentral lists this long non-coding RNA (352 nucleotides) under Homo sapiens (human). Its description in RNAcentral is "non-protein coding lnc-MYOC-7:2". The record is from RNAcentral. Lineage: Eukaryota; Metazoa; Chordata; Mammalia; Primates; Hominidae.
AGAAUUAUCUUUUCAGGACAAAGCUUGGACCUGAGACCUUUCUAAGAAGUCUUGAAUUGACCACGUUUACAAGUUGAUAAUAAGCCUCAGUGAAAUGAGCACUCUUAUGUCUGGAGAAUUUUGUCCCGAAAAUAGAAGUUCUCAAUUUCCAAUGGCUGCAGUUGCCCGCAUUGAUCUCCAAUAUAGUGGUGACAUCCUGCUGAGCUGCUGAUUUGUGCUCCUUGUCUCCUUAGCAGCACUUGGAUGGCCACUGACCCUAAAGUGCCCCCUGUACGUUACUUUCUCUGUUUCCAUGGCUACCCAAACCUCUUUGCAAUAUUAUUUCAAUAAAAAUCAAGUUACAGUUAAAUCA